Molecule: ribosomal RNA, 935 nt
Filed under: Zschokkella sp. HWS-2014
Lineage: Eukaryota; Metazoa; Cnidaria; Myxozoa; Bivalvulida; Myxidiidae
Description: SSU rRNA
Rfam family: Eukaryotic small subunit ribosomal RNA
Source: RNAcentral
UUUCUGCCCUAUCAACUUGUUGGUAAGGUAGUGGCUUACCAAGGUGAUAACGGGUAACGGGGAAUCAGGGUUCGAUUCCGGAGAGGGAGCCUGAGAAACGGCUACCACAUCCAAGGAUGGCAGCAGGCGCGCAAAUUACCCAAUCCAGACACUGGGAGGUGGUGACGAGAAAUACCAGGUCGUUCCCAAAAGGAUUCGACACUGGAAUGAGUGCAAUUUAAAAAUUUCAAUGAGUAACAACUGGAGGGCAAGUCUGGUGCCAGCAGCCGCGGUAAUUCCAGCUCCAGUAGUGUAUCCAAACGUUGCUGCGGUUAAAACGCUCGUAGUUGGACAAGAGAGUAGCUUGGUGCGGGCGGGGAGUGUUUUACUAUAUGUGUAAUCCUUUUAUUGUACAGAUCUGUCGUAAGAUGGGUUUGUGCUUUAACUGGAUCUUGAGCAUAUUUGUAUCGCUUGUCGACCAUGCUGCCAGGCUACUUGUAAUGUUUCGUGAGAAUGUUACAUGAUCUUUACUGUAUUGUGUAACGUGUCUUACGUAGUGUGCCUUGAAUAAAUCAGAGUGCUCAAAGCAAGCUAUAGCUUGAAUGUUAAUAGCAUGGAACGAAUGUUUAGUGGAAGUGAGUUUGUUGAAUUCACUCGUGGGAUUCGAUGGCUCACAGCACCAACCACGAAGCGGAGCAUUGGUUGCCGACUUCGGGUGAGGAUUAAGAGGGGCAUUUGGGGGCAUUAGUAUUUGGCCGCGAGAGGUGAAAUUCUUGGACCGGCUAAGGACUAACAAGUGCGAAAGCAUUUGCCAAGUAUGUUCCCUUUAAUCAAGAACGAAAGUGAGAGGUUCGAAGACGAUCAGAUACCGUCCUAGUUCUCACCGUAAACGAUGCCAACCCGGGAUCAGUUCGGAUGCACACCAAUUGAUCCAGGUUGGUCCCCCAGUGAAACCA